UACAGAGGUGUCAAGCGUUGCUCGGUAUCACUGGGCUUAAAGGGCGCGUAGGCUGUGCGGUACGGUUCGGGUGAAAUCCCUCGGCUCAACCGAGGAACUGCCCGGGCGACGGCCGCGCUGGACUGCAUUAGGGGACGAUGGAACUCCAGGUGUAGCGGUGAAAUGCGUAGAUAUCUGGAGGAACACCGGUGGCGAAGGCGGCAUCCUGGACCGGUAUUGACGCUGAUGCGCGAAAGCCAGGGGAGCAAACGGG
Molecule: ribosomal RNA, 253 nt
Filed under: uncultured bacterium
Lineage: Bacteria
Description: partial 16S ribosomal RNA
Rfam family: Bacterial small subunit ribosomal RNA
Source: RNAcentral